RNAcentral lists this ribosomal RNA (468 nucleotides) under uncultured bacterium. RNAcentral's name for it is "partial 16S ribosomal RNA". It matches the Rfam family "Bacterial small subunit ribosomal RNA", at positions 28 to 507 of the family's 1533-position model. The record is from RNAcentral.
GACGAACGCUGGCGGCGUGCUUAACACAUGCAAGUCGAACGGAAAGGCACUGCUUUUGUGGGGUGCUCGAGUGGCGAACGGGUGAGUAACACGUGAGUAACCUGCCCUUGACUUUGGGAUAACUUCAGGAAACUGGGGCUAAUACCGGAUAGGAGCUCCUGCUGCAUGGAGGGGGUUGGAAAGUUUCGGCGGUUGGGGAUGGACUCGCGGCUUAUCAGCUUGUUGGUGGGGUAGUGGCUUACCAAGGCUUUGACGGGUAGCCGGCCUGAGAGGGUGACCGGCCACAUUGGGACUGAGAUACGGCCCAGACUCCUACGUGAGGCAGCAGUGGGGAAUAUUGCACAAUGGGCGGAAGCCUGAUGCAGCAACGCCGCGUGCGGGAUGACGGCCUUCGGGUUGUAAACCGCUUUCGCCUGUGACGAAGCGUGAGUGACGGUAAUGGGUAAAGAAGCACCGGCUAACUACGUG